This 356-nucleotide ribosomal RNA is filed under the name Campylobacter sp. S1W 3. Its description in RNAcentral is "bacterial SSU rRNA". It matches the Rfam family "Bacterial small subunit ribosomal RNA", at positions 532 to 885 of the family's 1533-position model. The record is from RNAcentral. Lineage: Bacteria; Pseudomonadati; Campylobacterota; Epsilonproteobacteria; Campylobacterales; Campylobacteraceae.
CGAAGUACSWUACUCGGAAUCACUGGGCGUAAAGGGCGCGUAGGCGGAUUAUCAAGUCUCUUGUGAAAUCUAAUGGCUUAACCAUUAAACUGCUUGGGAAACUGAUAGUCUAGAGUGAGGGAGAGGCAGAUGGAAUUGGUGGUGUAGGGGUAAAAUCCGUAGAUAUCACCAAGAAUACCCAUUGCGAAGGCGAUCUGCUGGAACUCAACUGACGCUAAGGCGCGAAAGCGUGGGGAGCAAACAGGAUUAGAUACCCUGGUAGUCCACGCCCUAAACGAUGUACACUAGUUGUUGGGGUGCUAGUCAUCUCAGUAAUGCAGCUAACGCAUUAAGUGUACCGCCCUGGGGAGUUACGG